RNAcentral lists this ribosomal RNA (235 nucleotides) under uncultured bacterium. RNAcentral describes it as "partial 16S ribosomal RNA". It matches the Rfam family "Bacterial small subunit ribosomal RNA", at positions 15 to 217 of the family's 1533-position model. The record is from RNAcentral.
GAUCCUGGCUCAGGAUGAACGCUGGCGGCGUGCCUAAUACACGCAAGUCGAACGCUUUGUGGUUCAACUGAUUUGAAGAGCUUGCUCAGAUAUGACGAUGAACAUUGCAAAGAGUGGCGAACGGGUGAGUAACACGUGGGAAACCUACCUCUUAGCAGGGGAUAACAUUUGGAAACAGAUGCUAAUACCGUAUAACAAUAGCAACCGCAUGGUUGCUACUUAAAAGAUGGUUCUG